This 493-nucleotide ribosomal RNA is filed under the name uncultured bacterium. RNAcentral's name for it is "partial 16S ribosomal RNA". It matches the Rfam family "Bacterial small subunit ribosomal RNA", at positions 30 to 507 of the family's 1533-position model. The record is from RNAcentral.
AUUGAACGCUGGCGGCAUGCUUUACACAUGCAAGUCGAACGGCAGCGAGGAGAAGCUUGCUUCUCUGUCGGCGAGUGGCGAACGGGUGAGUAUAGCAUCGGAACGUGCCAAGUAGUGGGGGAUAACCAAACGAAAGUUUGGCUAAUACCGCGUAAGCUCUAAGGAGGAAAGUAGGGGACCUAAAUAAGGCCUUACGCUAUUUGAUCGGCCGAUGUCGGAUUAGCUAGUUGGUGGGGUAAUGGCUCACCAAGGCAAUGAUCCGUAGCGGGUCUGAGAGGACGAUCCGCCACACUGGGACUGAGACACGGCCCAGACUCCUACGGGAGGCAGCAGUGGGGAAUUUUGGACAAAGGGGGAAACCCUGAUCCAGCCAUGCCGCGUGUAUGAAGAAGGACUUAGGGUUGUAAAGUACUUUUGUUAGGGAAGAAAAGCUAGUUUUUAAUAAAAAUUAGUGAUGACGGUACCUAAAGAAUAAGCACCGGCUAACUACGUG